Rattus norvegicus (Norway rat) is the source of this 8194-nucleotide long non-coding RNA. RefSeq annotates it as carnitine palmitoyltransferase 1A like 1. NCBI's taxonomy places the organism in Eukaryota, Metazoa, Chordata, Mammalia, Rodentia, Muridae. The record is from RefSeq and is a predicted model, not a curated record.
UGGUUAUUGGACCCGGCCCAACUGAAUACCCAGCUGGAUGAAAGAGUGAAGCAUGAAAUAACAAAGGUAGCACAAAAGGAUGGGAAGAGGAAUUCGAUGAGAUCGUGUAGACGCCCCCGGGGAUCAAUUCCUAAAUGCCGAAAGCCUUGCUCAACGUGUCACCUCUUUAUGUCUUCUGAGGACAGAAUCCAUUAGUAGAGAAAGGAGGGCUGUGUGACCUGGGGUAAGGCAAACGGCUACUAAUAGUCCACCUUGUACUGGUUAUUCAUUAAGCCCCAGGGUGCCCUUAUAAGAUGGACAGACACAGCAUAUGAUCUAAAGUCCGGAUCAGUUACUUCACCCAAAUCGUCAGUGUUGUUGGUUAUAGAAGGAUCUGAACCCCAUUCCUACAGCUUUAGAAAUGGCUAAACUUGUGACUAAACUUUGCUUUUCUUCUUACGUUUUUGUUUGUUUGCUUUGGUUCUGGCCCCCCAACACCCGAUAUCUUGGUGUAUCCUGCUUUGUGAAACGACAGAACUUCAAACACCAGCAUCCCUUCCAGAGAGGCCAGAGGGUCCCAAUACAAACCAACCAGGGGCCAAGAUGCAUUCAGAACUCCUGUGUUACCCUCUUAGGGGUGUGCUCAGGGGAACCAGAUGGGCCUAUUUAGAGAGUAUUUUCUUUUUCCCUUUUCGGUUAAGCAGAGAGCCACAGUGGCAAUCCUCUGAAUCAAAGGUUUGCUCCACACUGCUCAGCUGAAAUGUGGGCUGUGAUAAGCAGACAUGUGCUCCGGAGCUCAGAGGCCAACUGUGGGCUCCCUGUCCCACUUGGGGGUCUAAGCAGGGGAAAUCUUGCAGAAGGCACACUCACUCUGAAGACAGAAUGAUAGCUCCCUGGGGCUACUGGGCUCCCAGUUUAGCCCAAUACAGAAGCACGGGAGUGAGAAACAACGGGGUGAAUUCAAGUAAAUUCAUCAAGGGCACAUGAGGGCGAGAAGGCAGACCGAAAAGGCAGGAUCCAAGCAGACUUAGACAUAGCUUGGAACCCAUUCUCCCCUCCACCCUGACGAGUUCUGGUGCUUCAACACUGGCCCCUGACGAAUUGGGGAAACCUCCCAAAAGGUUGUCAGCCUCAGGCAGGAGCUUUGAGAAAGCCUGUGAACACUUCAGAGCAUCCCACACUGGCCAGAGAAGUAAUCCAGAGAAGUAAUCGGUCAUGAGGCUUCCCCCCUAGGGGGACUUCCUCAUUCAAGCUACACAUUAAACCCUGGAGUCAGUGAAUGCCAAAGGUUGGGGGUGAAGAUGAUGGCACGUGACCUCAAGACACUUCCUAGUUUUCUUAGAGUUUGGAAUCGAAGCUAUUGAAAUGUAGACUCACCUUAAAGAGCUGGAAGCGGUAGGUGUGUUUGUGGCGCGUGCAAGGGAAAGGGGGACCAGGAGGACGUGAGCAAGGGGAGGGCACCGUUUUCUCCAGAGGAAUUUAUGUGAUCUAUCCAGGAGGAAUGGAGCAGUUAAACUUGACAACUAUUGUUUUCAUAAUUCUUUUCUGGCCUGAUUCUUGUCCUAUUUAUUUAUUUAUUUUAGACUGUCUUGCUGCAUAGCUCAGUCUGGCCUUGAAUUCCUACCCUGCCUCAGCCUUCCCGAUGCCGAAAGUACACUCUCAUGCCCAGUUUGUUUCCCGUCUUCCUAUUUAAAUAUUUCCUACCCUGAGCAUCAUAACAACAAACCCACCUCAAUUCAGAAAUGCACCCCAGGCUGGUGAGAUGGCUCAGUGGUUAGAGGUCUUUUUGCUCAAGCAGAAAGAUUAGCUCUCCCAAAAAUAUCCAGGUAAAUUCCAGGUGGGCAGAGCAGCUCACUUGUGUUCCAGUGGUUGAAAGACAGGAUCUCUCCUAGGAUCUCCCAUUGGUCUAGAGCUCCCCACCAAUUAUCUGGCCAUCCAGUGGGCCCCAGAGAUAUUUCUAUCUUUGCCCCUCCAACCCUGGGAUGACAAGGAUGUACCACCACACCUGUCUUAUUUACCUGAGUUCUGAGGAUGAGGCUCAGGUCCCUGUUGUUGCACGGCUAGCACUUCUCAUUCUGAGCGUCUCUCCAGCACUCGAAAGGCAGACACAGAUGAGUUUGAGCACUCGAUAGGCAGAUCUGUAUGAGUUUGAGGCCAAUCCAGUGUAGAGAGUUCCAGGCCAACCAAGAUGACAUAGACACCGUCAAAAAAAAAGGGCAGGGUGAUGGAGACAUGGUUCAUCAGCAACAGUACUGGCUUCUCUUGAGGACCUGUUCCCUGUACCAACGUGACAGCUCAAUGGACCCCCAGUUCCAGGGGAUCCAAUGCCCUCUUCCAGCCCUUAGGUAAAAGGCGCGCUCCCAUAUACACACAUAGUCAAAACACACUUAAAAUACUCUUUAAAUUCUAUUAAUUUUUAUUUGUUCAUUUUAUUUUCAAAACAGGAUUUCACUAGGUAGCAGCAGCUGUCCUGGAACUCACUCUGUAGACCAGGCUGGCCUUGAACUCAGAGAUCUACCUGCCUCUGCCUCCAGAGGGCUGGGACUAAAGGCUUGUACCAUGACCACCUGGGCAAAAUGACUUUUUAAAAAUGACAUGUUGGGAGAAUUUAGCAAUAGCUAGUAACAUUAGCAACACCAUCAAGUUAUGCAUGCUCCACAAUACCACAAUUCCGUGCAAAAUGUUUACCUGAACAUAGGCUGUCGAGGUAGCUCAUCUGAUGAGGGAGCUUGCACCAAGCCUGUCAGCAUGAGCUCAAUCCCUAGGAGCCCAGUGGAGGAGAGCAGUGACUCCUGCAGGUUCUCCCCUGAUUGCUACACCUGCCUUGGUGCUCGUAUGUGAGUAUACACACAUCAAUAAAUAAAUUUAAAAUUCUUAUUGUUUUGAGAUAGUUUCUUACUAUAUAGUCCUAGCUGGCCUCAUCCUCAGAGAUCUGCCUGCCUCUGCAGUAAGAAUUUUGGUUUCUGGGGUUGGGGAUUUAGCUCAGUGGUAGAGUGCUUGCCUAGGAAGCGCAAGGCCCUGGGUUCGGUCCCCAGCUCUGAAAAAAAGAACCAAAAAAAAAAAAAAAAAAGAAUUUUGGUUUCUUUAAAAACCAGUUAUGAUAUGUGAAUAUUUUUUUGCUCUAAUCCCAGGUGUGAGAUCAUCACAGCAGGUGAUUAUGAUUUGCCUCGUGCACCAGCAGGGGCGAGAUCCUUGCCAGCUACAGACAGCUGAAUUCUGGGGAUUCUGGGGAGACGAAGUAAAUGGAAAAGCCCCAAGAAGGCCUAGGAGGCUGCCACUCCCCUUGCCAGUCCUGCUUGCUGCUGUGGUGGUUGGUCAAGUGUUUGUGAGCAAAGAGACAAGAAGUUAGAGAUAUCCUGACAGCAAAGACUGGACAGUCCUAAGGAACCCAAGGCCCCUAGUCAUCAGGAAAUAGUCUAUUUUGCUGAGUGAAAGAAGUCAGGCCCCCUUCCCCUCUAACCUUUCUCUCCUACCUAGUGUUGUGGGGUCAGAAGGGUGAUGGGUAUGGGAACCCAAUAAAAGAGCCACCGAAGAAAAUCUGUGCCAGCGUCUGCCUCCCUAUUAAAGGUGUUCACUACAGUGUCUGGUUGAUUUCCAAAAGCUGUAAGGGAGCUGGAACGAGGGCUCAUGGGUUAAAUGCGUGUACUGUUCUUCCUGGGACCAGAGUUGGGUUCAGCUGCACAUUAGGCAGCUGGUAAUCACUUUGAGGAACCUGACACCUUCUUUUAGCCUCUGUAGGCACUUCAGGCACAUGCACAGACCCACACAGAGACAUACAUUCAUACACAUAAUUAAACACCAAAAUAAACCUUUAAAGAUGUUUGAAAGAAAGAUUUGGCUGGAUGUUGGUGGUGCACACCUUUAGUUCCAGUGUAAGGGACUGGACUCUGAGGCUGAGGCCAGCCUGAUCUACAGAGUGAUUUCCAGGAUAGCCAGGACUACACAGAGAUACUCUGUCUUGAAAUAAACAAACAAGCACAAAUGGUUUGAAAUGUACUGAGAGAACAUGUAUAAAACAAGACUCCAGGUCCUGUAACAAAAAAAGCCAGAAAUGGCAUGAAUAUCCAUUAUCAGUAUGCAUAGAGGCAUGCUUGCACCAAAACUAAUAUGUAACAAAGAGAAAAACUUUAUUGGCUCGGUCCUUGUACAGCCAAGGGACUGAAUCUCAGGAACAUAACCUGGAGCUGGAAAAUUGGUUCACUAGGUAAAGACACAUCCUGCCAAACUCGACCACCUGAGUUCAGGGACCCAUACAGUAAAAAGGAGAAUUGACUCCUGCAAAUUGUCCUGUGACUUGUACACACUCUGAUAUUUGCUGCCAUCGUGGAAAGGGAGAGGGCUGAGAGUGUAGAACCCCAGCGCUCCAGUCUUGCAAUGUGCUAAGUCCCUGACCUCACACGGGCAACUCCCGACCCAGGCGGGCAGGCAGGCAGGCAGGACAAGAGGGAGCCAGAGAAGUUGUCAGGACAGAUUCCACUCCUGAAGCUAGCAUGGCCUCCCCUCCUGUGGUGUGACCUCAGACAUGAGCUGUCUAGGGCUGGCCCUGUGAGUCAGCCCUGAGUCCCACCCCACCUCACGCCUUUCCCGUGGGGCGUCAGGGCUCAAAGCCUUCUUUCAGAAUGAGGCCAGGAAAACCAAGGACGUAAUGUGACCAAGUACAGCUGAAUAACCGGCGUGUCUGAAUAUUAAUGGGAAGUAGCUUUUGUAGCCAAGGAAAUCCAAAACAGAUUCUCUGAAAACAAGAUCUCUAAUCUAGACCCAAGUCAAACAAAUAGAAAACAAGAAAAACCCCAAAUUCCUAAAUCUCCCUAAUGAUAGAAACCUCAGAAGAAAUCCUACUUUUAUGUAAAAGUGUUGUUUUAAAAAAAAAAUUAGUUUCAGUCUGGCCAUGGUAGUACACGCCUCUAAUCCAAGCACUUGGGAGGCAGAGGAUGGCAAAUCCCUCUGAGGUAGGGAGGUAGGGACUCCCCCACCCCAGUCUACACAGCAAAUUCCAGGUCAUCCCCAUCCAGGUCUACAUAGUGAGACCCUGCCUCAAAACAACUUUGUUGUUGUUGUUGUUGGUGGUGGUGGUGGUGGUGGUGGUGGUGGUGGUGGUGGUGGUGGUGGUGGUGGUGGUGGUGGUUAAUGCUAUAGGCCAACCCCUGAGCUUUGUGCAUGAAGAUAACUAGCUGCUCUAUCACUGAGGUAUAGCGUCCUCUUAGGCCAGGGCUUGAGUUACCACUUAGCCGAGGACGCCCUCGAUCUCAACCAUCUGCUUUAGUGUCAUUUCUGUUGUUGACAGAAAAUAUCCUGGCAAAUGCCAGGCAGCACUCGGGAGGCAGAGGUGGGUGGAUCUCUGAGUUCUAGUCCAGCCUGGUCUACAAAGUGAUUCCAGGACAGCCAGAGCUACCCGGAGAAACUCUUGUCUUGGAAAACAAAACAAAAGAACUCCUGGCAAAAGCAUCUUAGAGACGAAAGGGUUUGCUUUCUCUUAUAGUUCCAGAUUCUAGUCCAUCACUGUCAGGGAGUCAUAACAGCAGGAGCAUGAAGCAGCUAGUUCCUACUGUCCAUGCCAAGAACAGAGAAAUACAUGCCUGCCUGCCUGCCUAUACUCAGCUAGCCCUCCAUGUUCCCUACUCAUACACAAUCCUGGGUUCAAACCCAGGGGACGUUGUUGCUUUCGUCCUGGAUCUUCCCACAUCAGUUAAGGCAACCCAGUCAAGCCCCUACCUGCAUCAGGCCAGCCUUCCAGGUGAGUCUAGGCUGUGUAAGUAGCCGGCACAGAGGAGCAGUAACACGGUUAGUUGCCCAGCACAUGUGCGGCUCUAAGAUGAAUCCCUAGCACCACACGACAAAAUAAAAUUCCUGAGACGUAUGGUAAGUCAAAGAACUCAGAUGGGUUCGGUGAACCUGCAGAGAUGCAGGACACCGGGACAAACCGGGACAAACCUGAGCAUUCACAUUUCCUGAUUCCAAAACUCAGCACAAAACUACAAACACCACUGGGCAUGGUGGUUCGCACCUUCAAUCCCAGCACUCUGGGGGCAGAGGCAGGUGGAUCUCAGAGUUCAAGACCAGCCUGGUCUACAGAGUGAGAUCCAGGACAUCAGGAUGACUACAUAGAUAAACCCUGCUUUUAAAAAAAGGGGGUGGGGGGAGGUUGGAGAGAUGGCUCAGCAGUCAAGAGCACAUCUGCUCUCACAGAGGUCCUCAGUUCAAUUCCCAGCACCCACAUGGUGGCUCACAACCAUCUGUAAUGAGAUCUGGUGCCCUCUUCUGGUCUGCAGGGAUAUAUGCAGACAGAAAGCUAUAUACAUAAUAAAUCUUUUUUUAAAACAAGUAAAAGAAAAAAACCACAAACAAGGUAACUUACAAAAGAAAACACUGAUGUAGGGCCUUGCUUACCCCUUCAGAGGAUUAGUUUAUAAUCGUCACUGUGGGGAGCAUGGUGGUGGGCCAGCGUGGUGAUGACGUAGUAGCUGAGAGCCAGACUUGAUCCUCAAGUUGCAGACAGAGAGUCUGGGGCCUGACCUGCACUAUUGAAACCGCAAGCCACUCAGGUGUUGGUGGCACACACCUUGAAAUCUCAAAGCCGACCCCGGCCCACUGAUGUAUUUUCUCUACAAGGCCACACCUUCUAAACCUUCCUAACAGUCCACCAAACUGGGAACCAAGCAUUGAAAUAUAAGAGCUCGGCUGGGGAUUUAGCUCAGUGGUAGAGCGCUUGCCUAGGAAGCGCAAGGCCCUGGGUUCGGUCCCCAGCUCCGAAAAAAAAAAAAAAAAAAAAAAAAGAACCGAAAUAUAAGAGCUCAUGGGAGCCAAUCUCAUCCAAACCACCACACAUGCUUAUGGGCAAAAUGCCUAAUACUUCUACUACUACUACUACUACUACUACUACUACUACUACUACUACUACUAAUAAUAAUAAUAAUAAUAAUAAUUUUAAGGUUACAAUGAUUAAGACUCCAUGGCACUAGCAUAAUAUACACAUAUAAGGGAACUAGAGAUAACCCUGACCUAACAUGCUAAAUUAACAGAAUUGAACCCAGACCCAACCAAACCCUUGUAUUACAGUCUAUUUUUUAAAAUGUAUUCAUUUUUAUUUUAUGUACCUGAGUGUUCGCCUGGAUAUAUGUCUGUAUAACACUGUAUGUGCCUGGCGCCCACAGAGACCGGAAGAGGGCCUCAGAUCUGGAGCAACAGAGGGUCAUGAGCCACCUUGUGGGUGCUGGAAUCAAGCCCAAGUCCUCUGCAAGAGCACUCCCAAGUCCGCUUAACCACGGAGCCGUCUCGCCAGAGCCAUUGCUGUUUUUGUGAGACACUAUACUAUAUACCCUGGCUGACUGGAAUGUAAAGGGACCCUCCUGCUUCUGGCCUCUCAAGUGCUGGAGUUAAAAAUGCUAGCCGCCACACCCAGCUGCAGCAGCUUUUAUGAUCACGUGAAGGCAACUGAGUGGGGGAAAGUGUGGCAUGGAGAUAACCCAGAUACAUGCGAAAGAAUGAAGUUGAGCCAGAUGUGGUGGUGCUCACCUUUCCUCCCAGUGCUCAGGACUAAGCAGGUAGGGCUCUGAGUUUGAGGCCAGCCUGUUCCACAGAGAGAGUUCCAGGACAGUCAGGACUACACAGAGAUUCCCUGUCUUUUUUUCUUUUCUUUUUUUUUUUUUUUUUUUUUUUGAGCUGGGGACCGAACCCAGGGCCUUGUGCUUGCUAGGCAAGCGCUCUACCACUGAGCUAAAUCCCCAACCCCGAGAUUCCCUGUCUUAAAAAGACCACCACCACCACCACCACCCACCACACACACACACACACACACACACACACACACACACACACACACACAGAGAGAGAGAGAGAGAGAGAGAGAGAGAGAAAGAAACAAAAAAAGAAGUUGAACCCUCUUCUCAAAACAAAUACAAAAAUGAACCUAAAUGCCCAGGUCAUGACAGCACAUACCUUUAAUCCCAGCACUCCUGAGGCAAAGGCAGGCGGAUCUCUUUUGAGUUUGAGGCCAGCCUGGUCUCCAGAGUGAGUUCCAGGACAGCUAGGGAUACAUAGAGAAACCUCUCUGGGGGGUUGAGGUUAGUAAGAGGGGGAGUUAAGAAUUACAAAAAGCGGGGCUGGGGAUUUAGCUCAGUGGUAGAGCGCUUACCUAGGAAGCGCAAGGCCCUGGGUUCGGUCCCCAGCUCCGAAAAAAAAGAACCAAAAAAAAAAAAAAAAAAAAGAAUUACAAAAA